UACGUAGGGUGCAAGCGUUAAUCGGAAUUACUGGGCGUAAAGCGUGCGCAGGCGGUUUUGUAAGUCUGUCGUGAAAUCCCCGGGCUCAACCUGGGAAUUGCGAUGGAGACUGCAAGGCUAGAAUCUGGCAGAGGGGGGUAGAAUUCCACGUGUAGCAGUGAAAUGCGUAGAGAUCGGCAGGAACACCCAGGGGGAAACCAGUCGACUGGGCAGCACCUGACGCUGAGGUGCGAGAGCGUGGGGAGCGAACCGG
This 253-nucleotide ribosomal RNA is filed under the name uncultured bacterium. RNAcentral describes it as "partial 16S ribosomal RNA". It matches the Rfam family "Bacterial small subunit ribosomal RNA", at positions 524 to 776 of the family's 1533-position model. The record is from RNAcentral.